CCCUUAGAUGUCCUGGGCCGCACGCGUGCUACACUGACGCAUACAGCGAGCACUUUCCAGUUCCGAGAGGCUACCGGUAAUCAUCAAUAUGCGUCGUGAUGGGGAUAGAUCUUUGGAAUUCUGGAUCUUGAACGAGGAAUGCCUAGUAAUCGCAGGUCAUUAGCCUGCGAUGAUUAAGUCCCUGCCCUUUGUACACACCGCCCGUCGCUACUACCGAUUUCGAGUGGUCAGGUGAAUCUUUCGGACUGUGGGCGCCCUUGAGGUGUUCGCGGAAAGUCAGGUAAAUCUUAUCACUUAGAGGAAGUAAAAGUCGUAACA
RNAcentral lists this ribosomal RNA (318 nucleotides) under uncultured eukaryote. RNAcentral's name for it is "partial 18S ribosomal RNA". It matches the Rfam family "Eukaryotic small subunit ribosomal RNA", at positions 1470 to 1796 of the family's 1831-position model. The record is from RNAcentral.